UUCCACAGCUACUGGUCUUCAGCUGCUCUGCUGGUGGCAGCUGUGGCAUUCCUCUGAGGGAAAGCAAUUGCUACACAGUUAAACACCUCUGCGCUGGCAAAACAGACAGUGGCCAUGUGCGUGAGAAAACACAA
Pteronotus mesoamericanus is the source of this 134-nucleotide small nucleolar RNA. RefSeq annotates it as small nucleolar RNA SNORA41. The transcript has a single exon. The record is from RefSeq and is a predicted model, not a curated record. Lineage: Eukaryota; Metazoa; Chordata; Mammalia; Chiroptera; Mormoopidae.